CUUGAAUUCAGAUAAAAGUGAUAUAUUUAUAUAUCAAUUAGCCAUGUGAUUAAUUUUCUGAGGUAACGAUUGAUUGAUUGUUUCUUGUUUAACGUUCAGUGGCAAAUAUUUCAUGUAUAUGCACAUGAAAAAGCAAAAGUUAGUGAGGGAAGGGCAAAUAUUCGUUCUACAAACUGCUUCUUCUUUCUUUUGUCAUUAAUUGGCAAAAUCAAGCAUAAUAGAAAAAAGAGAAAAAGAAACACCGUCCGACCAUAUAUAUAAUAGCUAUUACAUCUAUGGUCCGACAUACCAUCAAAAGGAACCAUGAGAACCUCGCCACGACGGUUGAGUAUCAUAAAACUUUCAGGUCAGACCGGGUACAUUGAAAUAUAGGACAUUUUGACGACAGAUAAUUCAAAGAUGUUAAAUGAAAAUAUACUAGUAAAUCGACUAGUCUAAUUUUUUUCAUUAUAAUUCCAUUCCAGGCG
RNAcentral lists this long non-coding RNA (467 nucleotides) under Mytilus galloprovincialis (Mediterranean mussel). Lineage: Eukaryota; Metazoa; Mollusca; Bivalvia; Mytilida; Mytilidae. The record is from RNAcentral.